AGUGGCGGACGGGUGAGUAAUGCUUAGGAAUCUGCCCAUGUAGUGGGGGACAACCUGGUGAACAACCAGGCUAAUACCGCAUAAGCCCUUCGGGAGGAAGGCAGGGGAUCUNNCGGACCUUGCGNUAUUGGAUGAGCCUAAGUCGGAUUAGCUUGUUGGUGGGGUAACGGCCUACCAAGGCGACGAUCCGUAGCUGGUCUGAGAGGAUGAUCAGCCACACUGGGACUGAGACACGGCCCAGACUCCUACGGGAGGCAGCAGUGGGGAAUAUUGGACAAUGGGGGCAACCCUGAUCCAGCAAUGCCGCGUGUGUGAAGAANGCCUGCGGGUUGUAAAGCACUUUCAGUAGCGAGGAAAAGCUCAAGGUUAAUAACCUUGAGUCUUGACGUUAACUACAGAAGAAGCACCGGCUAACUCUGUGCCAGCAGCCGCGGUAAUACAGAGGGUGCGAGCGUUAAUCGGAAUUACUGGGCGUAAAGCGCGCGUAGGCGGUUUGUUAAGUCGGAUGUGAAAUCCCCGGGCUCAACCUGGGAACUGCAUUCGAAACUGGCAGGCUAGAGUAUGGUAAAGGAA
RNAcentral lists this ribosomal RNA (573 nucleotides) under uncultured bacterium. RNAcentral's name for it is "bacterial SSU rRNA". It matches the Rfam family "Bacterial small subunit ribosomal RNA", at positions 94 to 659 of the family's 1533-position model. The record is from RNAcentral.